Molecule: long non-coding RNA, 837 nt
Filed under: Salmo salar (Atlantic salmon)
Lineage: Eukaryota; Metazoa; Chordata; Actinopteri; Salmoniformes; Salmonidae
Description: lncRNA (ENSSSAG00000090953.1)
Source: RNAcentral
GCUAUGGGUCCUAUGUAAUUCCGGCUCACAGAUUGCAAUUCCUAUGGCUUCCAGUAGAUGUCAUCAGUCUUUAUUCAAUGUUUCAGGCUUGUUUUUUGAAAAACAAGCAAGAAUUUUGAGUUUUGGUGAAGAGAGCACCGGAACAAUAUCAGUCUUUCGGCGCACUUACUAAUUUUACUUUCCUAUUGAACAUACUACUUUCCGUAUGAAAUAUUAUUGUUUAUUUACAUUUUAGCGUACCUGAGGAUUAAAUAGAAACUUGUUUGACUUGUUUGGACAAAGUCUAGAAGUAUCUUUUUGGACUCCUUUGUCUGCAUGUUGAACGAGUGGAUUACUGAAAUCGAUGGCGCCAACUAAACAGACUUUUGGGGAUAAAAAUAAGGAUUUUAUCUAACAAAAUGACCAUUCAUGAUGUAGCUGGGAACCUUGGGAUUGCAAACAGAGGAGGAUUUUCAAAAAUGCACAAUUGAGAGCAUCCUGUCGGGCUGUAUCACCGCCUGGAACGGCAACUGCACUGCUCACAACCGCAGGUCUCUUCAGUGGGUGGUGAGGUCUGCACAACGCAUCACCGGGGGCAAACUACCUGUCCUCCAGGACAGCUACACCACCCGAUGUCACAGGAUGGCCAAAAAGAUCAUCAAGGACAACAACCACCCGAACCACUGCCUGUUCACCCCGCUACCCUCCAGAAGGCGAGACGGUAGCAACAAGAUGAAGCGCUGCGAUGUGUGUGGACCCAAGGACAGGAAGACACAGUACACAUUCAUCAAGUGCAAGAAAUACAUUUGCAUCACAAACACAGUAAAACUCUGUCCCUCAUGUGGUGUGUAGACCGGC